This 468-nucleotide ribosomal RNA is filed under the name uncultured bacterium. Its description in RNAcentral is "partial 16S ribosomal RNA". It matches the Rfam family "Bacterial small subunit ribosomal RNA", at positions 28 to 507 of the family's 1533-position model. The record is from RNAcentral.
GACGAACGCUGGCGGCGUGCUUAACACAUGCAAGUCGAACGGAAAGGCCCUGCUUUUGUGGGGUGCUCGAGUGGCGAACGGGUGAGUAACACGUGAGUAACCUGCCCUUGACUUUGGGAUAACUUCAGGAAACUGGGGCUAAUACCGGAUAGGAGCUCCUGCUGCAUGGUGGGGGUUGGAAAGGUUCGGCGGUUGGGGAUGGACUCGCGGCUUAUCAGCUUGUUGGUGGGGUAGUGGCUUACCAAGGCUUUGACGGGUAGCCGGCCUGAGAGGGUGACCGGCCACAUUGGGACUGAGAUACGGCCCAGACUCCUACGGGGGGCAGCAGUGGGGAAUAUUGCACAGUGGGCGGAAGCCUGAUGCAGCAACGCCGCGUGCGGGAUGACGGCCUUCGGGUUGUAAACCGCUUUCGCCUGUGACGAAGCGUGAGUGACGGUAAUGGGUAAAGAAGCACCGGCUAACUACGUG